This is a long non-coding RNA of Peromyscus eremicus (cactus mouse), 9128 nucleotides long. RefSeq lists it as uncharacterized. NCBI's taxonomy places the organism in Eukaryota, Metazoa, Chordata, Mammalia, Rodentia, Cricetidae. The transcript has 3 exons. The record is from RefSeq and is a predicted model, not a curated record.
UGAGAGACUCCUCCUCUUACCAUAAAAACAGCCUAGAGUAGCUACCUGGGAGGUAGGUGCCUAUUAGAGGUCUUCCUUCCAUCAAACCGCUGGGAGGUCCCUCCUAAGAAUACAUCCACCUCUAAACAAUCCUGACUCCCUUGACAUUGUAGAUUGUGUUUUGUGGGUACCUAGGACAUGAAAUUAGACCAAGCAGAGACCAUGGUAUGGGAAGGACUCUGGGAAAUGAAAGGAGAGAUGAGUAUCCUGGGAAUUAUGCUUGAGGAUACCUCCUGAAGUGGUCACCUCUUCCUGGCUAAGGAAGGUCCCUAAGUAGGAGGAUGGAAGCAGGGCCAAAAACACAUAGAAACUUUAACCCUGGAACUGAGGAAUCUGGGUUCUCUCAGGGUUCCUUCAGAGUGUCACUCACCACUGUCAUGUUUGGGAACACAGCAUUCUGUGACAGCAAGAAAAACAUCAACUAAAGAAGGUGUCCAGGGUGAAGACCCAGAUUACACCUGCAGCUUGGAUGGCCCCAUGAUUAAGAUGACAAGAAGGGCCCUGCUGGUGAAGGGCACGAGGUUACACAGCAGUUGCAGAAUCAUGGGUGACACAGAGGGGACCUGGGCAAGGGGCAGAGCAGAGCAUUUUCUCACCCUCUGCACAGACACAACGAUGUUUUUUUGGAGAAGUCUUUGUGCUGUGUGAAUUUCUUAAAUUCUUCCAGGGCCUCCAGGUUUUCUUUUGGAUACUUUCCUGUGAGCAGAGGACAGAUAAGCAGAUGGGGUGUGACAGCACAGUUCUGUCGGGAACCAGUGACACAAAGACAAAAGCACUGCCCAGCUCUAGGGUCUUCACCCUGGAGCACCUUCUUUAGAUGGGAGCAAGAGGGGAGGAGACUUCAGAGAGACCAUGGAGGUGGGAUAUGGGUGCAUAGCUUGUCCACAGGAAGUGGGUAACACUGAUACAAGGGGCCACUGUAUAACCAAAUGUAUAUGUGACUUCCUAAGCAGACAAGUAAUACCACACCUUAAUCAGAAAGAAGCCUGUGUUUCAAGGUCACUAGUCUGCCUCCUGUCCCUGGGGGGCAUUGUCCAUAAAAAGCAUCUGUUAGGACACAGCCUUUCAAUGAGACCUGCCUGCUAUGAAACCUGAGAACCCAGAAAGGAACAUGUAGAAGUUCCAGUCACUGGCGGGAACUUCUGUCCUAUUUGGUCCAUGUUCAAGGCCACAUCUGCUCAUGGAAGUUCUGCAUAUACCCCAACUUCCCACUUCAGAGCAUGCACACUGUCCACAGAGCACCUUAAUCAGAGCUGCCAGAGGGACACCCAGGGGGCUUUGUACUUCCCAGUGCCAGGGUGUAGCUGUGCACAUUCAAAUAGCUGACGGUAGUAGCGAACAUGGACAGGAGUGGGAGUCUCUGGGGUUCCUCACCUAUCAGGUGUCCGGGUUGGAAUCUUUUCUCAAACAAAAGGUUUUCAGCAUAUAAGGUGUAGUGGUCCUUCACUGGCAGCUUGUAGAUGUAGACGAGCUUAUGGCCCAAAACUGAAAAUUAAAGAGAAAUUGGCCUAUAAUGUCUUUUUCAAAGACAAUAUUCAGACCACACGAAGGAACAGUCUAGAAUAAACCAUGAGCACCCAACCUGCUGGCUCCAAGCCUUACUGUGACCUCAUUACAGGAAAAGGUGUCAUCGUGUCAUCCAUAGCUACGGAGUCAGGAUCACAGGUGUCAGGGAAGAUGGAGACUGCACAUAACUGGUUCCCUGGCACCUACGCUACCCUGCUUCUGAAAUCCUAAGCUUCAGUCUCCCUGUUGGCCAGUGGACAGCACUAUCUGAAGGGGAGUGUGGUCUUUUCUGUGGACUAGCCUGUGACCUCUAAAGUCACCUGGGAAUUAACUGGGUAGGCCUUCCUGAAAAGUAAGCAGGAUAGGGAUGCUACAACCCCAGGAGCUUGCCUUGCAAGGGAUAAUUGCAUGCAGUCAGGGGUACCUUGCUGGCUAAUAAUUCUACAUAAUAUAGAAUCACCUGAGUUUAGUUCCACUGGCCAUGACAGUGAAAAUGAUAUUGAUUACGUUCACUGAUUGUGGAAGGCUCAUCUUAAUUGUGGGCAGGAACAUUCUGUGGGCAGAAGAUCCAGACUGUAAAAUGGUGAAGCCACCUGAGCACCAGCAUGAAUACACUCAUUGCUUUCCUGACUAUGUGUGCAAUAUGAGCAGCUGCUUCAUGCUCCAGCUGCCAGGAAAGCCCCACCAUUGUGGACUAUAUCUUGAACUGUGACCUAGAGCAAACCCUUUCUCCCUUAAGCAGUGUUGAUUAGAGUGUUUUUAUCACAGCAUCAGGAGAAGAAACUGAGACAGGGACUCACAGUCCAGUUGACCAGGCACCUCUGUUCUCUGCUAUGGGAUGGUCUGUAUGUCAAGUGUGUUGCUGAUUGGUCAGUAAAUAAAUCACUGAUUGGCCAUUGGCUAGGCAGGAAGUAUAGGUGGGACAAAGAGAAGAAUUCUGGGAAGUGGAAGGCUGAGGGGGAGACACUGCCAGCCGCCAUGAUGACAAACAGCAUAAGAAGAUGCCAGUAAGCCACGAGCCAUGUGGCAAGGUAUAGAUGAAUGGAAAUGGAUUAAUUUAAGCUAUAAGAAGAGUUAGCAAGAAGCCUGCCAUGGCCAUACAGUUUGUAACCAAUAUAAGUCUCUGUGUUUACUUGGUUGGGUCUAAAUGGCUGUGGGACUGGCGGGUGACAGAGAUUUGUCCUGAGGUGGGCCAGGCAGGAAAACUCUAGCUACAGUUCUCUGCAUAUGAAUCCCUCUGAAUGCACUGGCCCUUAGACCUGAAAAACAGAAAACCAACAGACAGCCUCUUUCAGAACACAUGACUGUGCUCUACUGAGGUCACUUGGUUCAUUAGCUUUAGCACAAUGUCCCCUGAAACCCCACAUCAACCCUUCCAAGUUUUUUUUAUUAUGAAAAAUUUUUAUUCAUUUUACAUACCAAUCAAAGAUCCCCUCUUCCCUCCUCCCGCUCCUCCAGCCUCCCCCUCCCAAACCACCCUCCAUUCCCUUCUACAAGAAGGUAAGGUCUCCCAUGGGGAGGUACAUUUAGUAGAGGCAGGUCCAAGCCCCUCCCCCUACCUCAAGGCUGUGCAAGAAUUGUCUUCCUGUCAAUCCACAGAAUUAAAUGUACCCAAACAAGUGAAAAAUACACUACAAAUAGGCUGUGGGAAGAAGCCCAUAGCUGUUUUGAGGGAAGAAUUGUCGUAGUACAUGAGAAAAAUUACAGACAAAAACAAAUGGUAUUCAUAAUCUGUGACCCCACAGAACAUGUCUAGUGGGGCUCCCUAUCAGAGAAUUAUUCAUCUGGUGGGUCAAUCUGUUGAAUAUUAGUCAUCUGCUAUAUGUUCUUUUGGUCUCUGGCAGUGUUUUAAGUUUUGAAGACUGUGGGACUUUUAAAGUUGUUUGGUUUUUGUAUUGUGAUAUUAAUGCCAACAUGACAGCUUGGGAACAAAUGAGAAAGGAAAGGCUAUGGUUUAAUACUGAUGUUUUUGGACAUCAAGUUGAUAUGUGGUCCAUUGUGCUGGUGUUUUAUGUCAGCUUGACACAAACCCAGGCCUCUCUGGGAAGGAAUCUCAAUUGAGGGGUUCCCUCCUUCAGACUAGCCUGUAAGCACUCUGUAAGGCAUGUUCUUAAUUAGAAACAGUUGAUGUGGGAGAACACAACCCAUUGUGAGCAGUACCAUCUCUGCACAGAUGGUCCUGGGAAGAAUAAGAAAGCAAAGUGGGUCAUGUGAUCAAGCCGAGCAGCACUCCUCCCUCUAAGGCUUUUGGUUCCAUUCCUUCCUCCAGGUGCACGCCCUGAGUUCCCUCCUUGACUUUCUCCUGUCAUGGACUGUGGCCUGGAAAUUUUAAGAUGAAAUAAACCCUUUUCUCCCCCCAACUUUAAUUGGGUCAGUUUUUUAUCAAAGCAGCAGAAACCAAACAAAACCCAAUUCUCAUGAUGAGCAAGGAAUGAUGUAGUAAUUUCCAACAGGAUCAGUGAUGGUGGAAAAGAAAAUGUAAGACAGAUUUAUAGGGAUGAUGUGGUUGUCUCUGUGGAAGGAGUCUAAAAACAAAACCAGAAUGGAGAAAUGACAUGGCCAAGACCUCACACUGUAACACCUUCUCCAUCAUGGUGUGACUAGCCAAGGGGAAGGAAUCCUAAUGAAAAAUGGUUUCCUUUACUGAUCUCUUGUAACCCUCAGUGUCCCUACCUCUCCUUACACUGUGUUGUUCAGUGUUCACUGUAUUCACUAUCCCUGCUCAGUCUACUGUGUGCUCCUGUCUCCUGAUUACUUAAUUAUAUAUUAUUAUGAGAGUGUCACAUGCCAAGAGGAAACCAAAAUGGAACAAGGUGGACAGCAACUAGGGAGACAAGGGGUUGGUGAUUUCAAUGGAAUUGCCUGAGUCAGCUGCAUAAAGAGAACAUUUAAACACGUGAAUGAAGGAAGUGAAGGAAAUGAGCCAUGAAUAAGGAAGUAGAUGAGGACUCCAGGUGGGAGGAACACUCAGUGUGGUCUGGAAGAGGCAGAGGCAGACUGGCUGAGAAAGGAACAGACAGAAGGGUGGAGAGGGGGGGGGGGAAGAUGGUCAGAGGCCAAGUUAGAGAGGGGGUAGAAAAAAUGAUGAUGAGCUGUAGACCAAGCUAGAGACUUUAUGUUUAUUGUGAAUAAAAUGACGAGAAAGAGUGUGUUGUCAAAGUGAGAACAUGACAUUCUUUUAUUUUACUUUUUCCAUGAAUUUUAAAGUUACCAUACAGAGUAAUGAGUUUAUUUAUGGUAUAUUCAUAUAUAUGUGGGUUGUUUUCUUCUAAUUUAUAGUCUUCUGAUAAUAUCCUUCUCUGUGUCCAUCCUCAAAUCCAGAAGGAGGUGGAGCGGUCCAUAAACCUGGAGUUGAGACUACAGACAGGUCCUUCCAUGCCUCCAUGACUGCUAUAUGUACUUCUGCUCCAGCUGCCUAUGGUGUCCUCUUCAUGACACACUCUAGAAUACAGAAUGUGAACUGAAAAGGGAAUUCCAGCCAUUCAGCUAAGGGGAAUUGUUCUCCAUGGGAAAUCCUGAACAGAAAGGAAGAGGAAAUGAGGAAAAAUCAAAUCUCUACCAUCACAAAGAGGGUGCUGGGCUGUGACUGCAGGACGUCUGAACUGUCUGAUCAUAGAGGAGCAUGUUAUGUGCAAUAGGAAGUUCAGCAGAACUCUGGACUUCCUAUGCAGGACCCCAUACCUGAUACCAGGACAAUGUCUCAAGAUGGGACCAGUGAUCCCAGCAUCAGGGGAGUCCCACUAGAAGUCUGUUCAGAGAAAUACAACAAUGGCAGACUGAGAAGAGAAAGAAGGUAUCAGGGCUGGAUGAAUGAAGACUACACGUGGACUCGGGCCUCACAACUGGUCAUUUGAUGGCUGAGGAGAAGAAAGGACAAGAGCUUGCAAAUCGUUCUCCCAAAGAUACCAAGAAUGGUAGGAAUUGUCCCAGUUGGAAACUAGACUAAGUAUGGUAGAAGGAGCCCACUCUGGACCCAUUGCCUCACAAGUUCAUGGGCAGUUCUUGCAAACUCACAUACCCAUGAGCAUAGUCAUUAUGUAGGUGGGAUGUUUAAAGCUAUCCUUGUAGUAGGCCAGGGCGAAAUCCUCUGUGAUCAAGAAAAAGAUGCCUAUGUAGUGCUUUGACCCUGUGGAAACAAAUAAGCCAUAUGCCCAUGGAGUCUCUUUAGAAGUCUCUAUGAAAAGGUAGAAAUAUGGGUGUGAGCACUUACAGGCUUGAAAGAAACCAGGGUAUUUUUCGAAAUGAUCCAGAUACUGCUUGAACAAAACACAUCCGAUGGGUUUCCUGAAAUACAGGAUAAAAAGUGACUCUAAAUUGGACACUUUACUGCCUUUCCCACACACAUCAUAGGCCAGGCAAUUAGGUCAGACUUCCCUCCCAAUACAUAGGACUCGGGCAGCAGUCUCAGAAUCCAGCUGGUCAUGACUCUGUACCCUCCCUGUGUGCUCCAAGUCACUCCAGGAGAAGGGCAGCUGAUACACACUGCUGUGGAAAUGGUGAGCAAACCAGACCCCCUUCUGGUACAUUCUGGUACCUCGAACACAAUAGGUCUUUCCAAACACAGCCUGCAUACACACCCUGGAUCACUAAAUGUGUCUCAAAAACAACUCCCAAAUGAUAGUAUCCUGGGCCGAUAUAUUCCCCACCUGGGUUUUUCACUAGCACAGAAACCAGAGGACUCUUCAGGGCCCUGUGAGCAUCAUUCCUGUGGAUACCAAAGACACCUGGUUCAUUGCACAGACAAUGCAAAAGGAAUCCAGGAUGACAUGGAGAGCCUAGCUGAGAUCAGGAGGUAUGUGUGAGAUGAAUAGGGGCGAGAUGAAGCAGCCAAAAGCAGAGAUACCUGUCUGGGUGUGUGCACUCACAUGAUCUUCAUCCUGAACUCCAACUUCCCAAUAGCAUUAAUGACAAAGGCGAAGGGUGGCAGUGGGCUGAGCUUCUUCUUUGCAGGAAUAGGCAUGUUUCCAGCCCAGCGAGUUAUAUACCAUUUUCCUAGAAGCUAGAGGAGAAGUCAGGCUUCGGGGUCAAGAAAAGACAGGGAAAGGAUUCCCAGGCUGGAGAUGGAGCAGGAGCAUGGCUAAGAGGGGGUUGGGGAGCAUCUUAAUGCAGACAGGAGGGGCCUGAGGCACUGGAAGGACAACAGGCGACCUGGUCAUGACUGGAUCUUCUCUACCAUUUUCAGGCAGAGCCAGGCAAGCUGGAGUAAGGGUCUUCUGGGAGAUAAGUUUCCUGGAAGGGACUCUGUCCUGUGUCCUUAAGGAGGUCCUGCACAAGGAGCUGAGAAAAGUUACCCAGAGAGUGAGGCAGGAUGCAGAGUAGACAGAGCUCAGAGUGGGUCAGUCACAGGUGGAAGGUAACACCAAGCACCCAGAGACUAUGAGAUCAUUUGUGGUCACAGUCACCCCACUCACAUGUCAGCUGAUCCUGGCUGGGGUUCAGUCCCUGUUUCCCCCCACACACUCACACAGUCAGGGAGAAUCCCCCAAGGACUGGACUCAUCAACGUUCUCACAAAACCAAUCAAUCAGUACUCAGUACUCUCUCUGUCCCUACCUUGACACAAUUGUCUCAGGAACAUUAGCAUAUGACCUUCAAGUGACCUUGGCACCUGCCUCCCCUCCCAGGAUCCACACACCCUUGACCUCCCUGUCUCCAGUACACAGGGACCCAGGACCAAACUGAGAGCUGGAAUGGAUGGCUUUCCUGCUUUUAUGGAGGACAGGCAGGAUGAAGACCAAGCAUUUGGUGUGGAAACAUCAGAGAGGAUCUGGUUCCCAAGGCUUGGGUGGCCAAGAGCAUGAACAGCAGCUUGCCAGCACCCAGACUGGAGAAAGGACUUGGGGUCUCUGAGUAAGCUGUGUGGCCAUGACAGACAGCCCAAUGAGCUGGAGUUGUACCUAGGGGGAGACAAGGUGCCUAGAUACAAGCCUCAGUCCCAGGACCAUUUGGCAUAGAUGUUUCUUGGCCUCCAGGACAAAGUCAUCAACAAACAGGAAAGGCACAACCAGGCACCUCUGUUCAUCAGUGAUAGGGUGUGGGAGCAUGGCUGAUCAUAUCAGGACCCUCACAUCUUCUCAGGAAGACAUACCUGAGUUGCUAAACAUGAUCUCUUGGGAAGUCCAUCCCUCUGACCUUCCCUCCCAGCAGUGCUCAGCCCUCAGCAAGCAGCAGUGCUACAUCUGUGCACAUCUCCCUGCAGGAGACUUUCACUGAGAACAGAAGUUCUGAAAAGACUCAAUUCUGUCAUUUGAAAGAAGGUUCUCAGGAGCCACAGGCUGACAGAGGAGUCACUGGUCACUGUGACAAAGUGGUGAGCCAGAUGACACUAUAACCCAUUCCUCUGCCUGUGGGUGCCAACCCUGUGGGGAGCUGAAUGAUGAUACUGGAGGUCAUAGCCUUCAUGGAACCCAGGGACUGUCCCAGAUGUCUACCUGUGGGUCCAUCAGUGACCUCAGACACUCACCCAGUCCAAGGUCAUGACCCAAGAAUCCCAGACCCCACCCUCAGUGCUCCCAUGGCUCUCACCUUCUCAGUGGUGGCAGGAAAUGUAGCAGCCCUGUAGACAGUAGCAGGAAUUGUUAAAGCUUCUUCAUCUUCAGCUGCUACAGAGAGUAGAGUCAGGCUCAGAGGCAGCAGGAGCAGCUUCAUAGUCGCCAUAGUGCCCAUGUGCUUCUGGCCUCCCUGCAGCAUCUACAUCCCAGCCUCACCUGCACAAAGGCCCAUCCAUGUGUGAGCUGAUUGUACCGUUGUUUUGUUUGGACCUCAUAGACACAUGGUGCAGAUUUCUGUAAUUAAACACCUGGCUGCACUUUCACUCAUUCUGAGGAAGCCUUGUCAGGAGAAAGAAUGUUAUCAGAGUGGGAAGCAUGACCUCAAAAUACAGAACAGGAGGAUAAUAAGGGCUCCCGAGUUCCUACCCUUUGCAUGUCCAAGUUCUAUUCCCACCAAAAUCACUCAUAUCACUUAAUCUUACCUCCCAAAACUUCCAACUCCAAACAGUCACCAGCUUCUCUCCACAUAGCAGUGGUGAAUGUAAAACCCUAUCCUCUCCACCACAGCCCCCAGAGAGCUCAGCUGUGGUCUCUCUUCACCACACUCUGGCUCCUGUAUCCUGUCUUCUCUGUAUGCUUACAAGGACCCUGCACAUCUUUCUGACUCUGCAUGUUCUCCCUGCAGCUCCCAUCCUACUCAGCAUCUAGGCUUCUAGAAAUCUUCCAAAUUCUACUGUGCCUUGUCUCAGAGCUGCUCAUUUCUCUCAGGUCAGGCUCCAAGAGUUGGGACUCAAGCCAGACUGAAGUCUUUCCAGAUUGCCCAACUCCCAUUGGUCCUCUGUUCUAUGCCAUAGCACAGUGCAAAUCCACUGCCUUGCAUCUGUGCACAUGUGGAGCUGUGUGUGUGCCUGUGUACAAAUGUAACUGUGCAUUUGUGUCCAUGUAGGUAUGUGGUAGGGCACAUGUGCAUGUGUGUCUGAGAGUUCAUGUGUAUGCCUGUCUUUGAAUUUUGGUGCCUCUGCCUGUGUAUGUGAGUACAUGCUUUGUUCUGAGGUGUGUGUCUCCGUCUUUGUGUAUACAAGUAUACAUAUAU